AAAAGGCCCUUUCGAAGCUGUGCUAUUCUUCAUUUUGAAUAUACAUAGUCAAAAUGCGGCCAAUAGAAAAAAUUCUACAAUAGGUCACUGGAUGUUUAUUUCAAUACAGAAUUCAGUAUUACCCAAGUAGAAGACAUUU
RNAcentral lists this small nucleolar RNA (139 nucleotides) under Diabrotica virgifera virgifera (western corn rootworm). Lineage: Eukaryota; Metazoa; Arthropoda; Insecta; Coleoptera; Chrysomelidae. The record is from RNAcentral.